RNA transcript from Mangifera indica (mango), 2642 nucleotides. It is a transcript of the gene named polyadenylate-binding protein-interacting protein 3-like, with no coding region annotated. The record is from RefSeq and is a predicted model, not a curated record. Lineage: Eukaryota; Viridiplantae; Streptophyta; Magnoliopsida; Sapindales; Anacardiaceae. The transcript is spliced from 15 exons.
GAGGAUUAAUCUUCUUGUUCCUUACAUAAUUUCUCACUCUGUCCGUCCGCCAUUUCCCUUUUUUGUGUUUUUCUCUGGAUCACAGCGACUCCUCUCUCUUAUUGCCUCGUGAUUCGCACGUGAUCGUCGCUUCCGUCUAACCCUAUCCCCCCCAAGUCAAAACUCCUCUCUUUUACUCCUAACUCACUGCUUAUUUUCAUCCCUUCUUUUCCUUGCUUAUUAAGGUUCUGGAGGCUUCUUGUGCCGAUGAUGAAUUCGCAACAACUUGUGCUCCCCAAGGUCACUGCUAAUGGAUUUGGCCGCAGAAGAGGUGAAAGAGAAGGGGGAACUAGGCUGGAGAAUAAAUUGCCAUCAGGAAAAUCAAACUCUGCUAGAGUGACAAGUACAGGUGCAAUGAGUGGUGGCAAAUUUGGAGUUUAUGAGAGCCCUUCCCACGAUCGGUUAUUAUAUGUGACAACAAGUCUUAUUGGACUUCCUGUGGAUGUCCAGAUGAAAAAUGGAUCAAUAUACUCUGGAAUAUUUCAUGCAACAAGUGAUGAAAAAGAGUUUGGAGUUAUAUUGAAAAUGGCUCGCUUGACGAAAGAUGGUAAUAAUCCACGAGGACAGAAAGCGGAGAUUGUUAGCAAGGCACCUUCAAGUAUUAUUGUUAUACCUGCCAGUGAACUUGUGCAAGUCAUAGCAAAGGAAGUUGCUGUAACUAGGGAUGGAAUGGCAAGUGAGCUACAACAGGAAAAACAGCAUGAAAUUAUGAUAGAUUCAUUCAUUUCACAAUCUCGCCAUGCAGAUGGAGAAAGAGAGCUAGAACCAUGGAUCCCAGAUGAAGAUGAUCCACGUCUCCCUGAAUUGGAAAAUACAUUUAAUGUCCCUUGGAAUAGGAACUGGGAUCAGUUUGAAACAAAUAAAACAUUAUUUGGUGUGAAGACUACUUUCAAUGAGGAACUUUAUACAACAAAACUUCUGAAGGGUCCCCAAAUGAGAGAGUUGGAGAGAGAAGCUAUGAGGAUAGCCAGAGAAAUUGAGGCUGAGGAUACUCAAGAUCUUCAUUUAGCAGAGGAAAGAGGCAUGAACCUUCACGAAAAUUUUGAUAUCGAUGAGGAGACCAGGUUUUCUUCAGUCUACAGGGGUAGUGCCCUUGAUGAUAGUGGAUAUGAAGAAGAUGAGGAUAUAAUGUUGGAUUCAUGCAAUGAUGAAACCUUUGGUGGUUCAUCUGGUUCUGUGAGCCAGAGACCUGCUGAUUUGACCAGUGGGAAAAGAUCUGAAGCAGCUCAGUUGUCUUCUAGCUCUUCACUAGUGGUGAAGCAGGAGGAGGCACAGUCAUCCCACUCUGGUGCCGCUCCACAACACUCAAUUUCUUAUGAUCAUGCAAGACAGAUGGCAUCUGAAAUUCCACAUAAAAGUAUUUCUACUUUGGACAGUGAAACAAGGGUCCAGGAGAAUUUGCUUAGCGAGCAUGGAGCAAAUAAUGAUGUUAAGGAGUUUUUGGAUAAGCAUCUGCUAGCAGAGGAUGCUCAACUAUCACAAUCAGAGGAUUCAGACUCAUUAGAGGGCAACAUAGAUGGUUCUGAUGGAGUGGGACUAUCUGCAAAUGCCUCUUCAUAUGCUCCAUCCUGUGCUCCAUCAAAGAGCAAUGAAAAGACAAGUUCACCUUGUGAACAACCGGAGGUGCCAGCACCUAGUAAAGCACCCAGUGAACCACAAUCUAUAAAUUCUCAUGGAAGACCUGGUAGUUCUGUGUCAUCCAAUUCUGAAUGUGCAGUUUCUGCCUCAGCUUCUAGUGGCCCUGGUUUAUCACCAAGCUCAUCAGUGGGUUCUUUAUCUUCAGAACGAUCAACAUUGAAUCCCCAUGCCAGGGAAUUUAAACUCAAUCCUUACGCAAAGAGUUUCGUCCCAUCUCAAGCGGCUGCUAGGCCCCAAUCCCCUGUCACUGAUAGUCCCUUCUAUCAUCCACCUAAUGUAUCUGCAGUACCACAUAUACCUGGCAUGCCCGUAGGUUUUGGACUUUUAGCAUUUGGUCCAACAUGUUCGUAGUUGUGACUGACUUCUGUAUCUUUUGCUGAUUGGACCUGCUUUUGCUGGGCACCAGCCUGUCAUGUACAAUCCUCAGGUUGCCAUGCAACCACCCCAAGCCUUUUAUCACCUACAUGGACCUCAGUAUGGACAGCAGAUGGUUGUUAGUCAGCCCCGACCACUCUUUUAUAUGCCGACCUACCAGCAGCCUGAAAUGCCAUACAAAGGACGAGAAUUUUAACCGGUUUAUCAGCUGAUUAUAUUCUUGGAGCUCUGUUCUGUGCUGCUUGCCAAGGAUGAAUCUUUCUAGACUUAUUUGAACAACAAUUUUCUGGGAACAAAUUGCAGCCUCUGGCCGCAGAAGUUUACCAAAGAAUUGUGAAUACCAUAUCGCGGAGAGAUUUUCCUUCAUUAUGGGAUAUAAUUCAGAGAACUCUAUAUCCUUCACCCUGUUAAAGCUCUGUUUUUUUUUUUUUUGUGCUGUAAUUGUACUCUUCGUUCUUUUUUUCCCUGUUUUUUUCAUGUCAAAUUAGUUUGGAAUAAUUCAAAAUGGAAAGCAACUGUUGCAUGUACCCUGAUUCACUUCUCAUUAUAAUUUUUUUUUUCUAAAUUAAAAAAUUGUUUUAGUUCCUAGC